Long non-coding RNA from Drosophila persimilis, 213 nucleotides. RefSeq lists it as uncharacterized. The record is from RefSeq and is a predicted model, not a curated record. The transcript is spliced from 2 exons. NCBI's taxonomy places the organism in Eukaryota, Metazoa, Arthropoda, Insecta, Diptera, Drosophilidae.
UGUCAGUAAUUUUUCUGGGUUACUUUUUUGUAAUCCAAGCAACACUGCCACAUUUAUCAUCGGCUGGUGGCUGGUGGCUUGGGAGAGUUAGUUUGACAGAUCGGUGUAAUCCAAAAUGUCGACAAACAGCAGCCCUUCCACAACCGGAGCCCUGGCAGCCCAUUCGGAUACAAGACGAUGGUAGAACUGAUGCUGGCUCGUGAUAUUGGACAG